CAGCGGGGCGCGGCGGCGGAUGGCGGCCAGGCGCUGUCGCUGUCGGGGCAGUCCUACUGGCUGGACCUGUGGCUCUUCGUCCUCUUUGACCUGGCGCUCUUCGUGGUCAUCUACCUGCUGCCCUAAAGGCGCCGAGCCCAGAGCCACUGUCUAAUCACAGGAUGCACCUUACGAAAACAAGCAGUGGAAGAGGAGGACCACUUGUGCAGUAUAAACAACUGGGAACACGACUCUGCUUGCAUCUGAUUGCACGAUGCAUAUAUAUACAUGCUGUAUCAUAAUAGAUCUCUGGCUGUAUCACCAGUGUUACUGUUCAGGUUUUAACCUGUAUCCUGUUUCUGUGUUCUAAACUGUGCCUUAAAGGUCACGUAAGACAGCUUGACUGUGCUUUUGUAAUUAGUGCCUAAAGGUUUGUUAAGCAGAAAUGAAAAUCUGUACUGUUUGAAUAAAAUCAACUGAAAGGACAGACUGCAGAGUGGCCGAGAAUAAAAUCCAGCUCUUAUGUAGA
Gavia stellata (red-throated loon) is the source of this 508-nucleotide long non-coding RNA. RefSeq lists it as uncharacterized. NCBI's taxonomy places the organism in Eukaryota, Metazoa, Chordata, Aves, Gaviiformes, Gaviidae. The record is from RefSeq and is a predicted model, not a curated record. The transcript is spliced from 2 exons.